Long non-coding RNA from Mercurialis annua (annual mercury), 777 nucleotides. RefSeq lists it as uncharacterized. The record is from RefSeq and is a predicted model, not a curated record. NCBI's taxonomy places the organism in Eukaryota, Viridiplantae, Streptophyta, Magnoliopsida, Malpighiales, Euphorbiaceae. The transcript is spliced from 5 exons.
UUUUUUCAUUCUCGCUUUUACUUCAGUCUCUUUCGCUUUUACUUCAGUCUCAAAUACAAAUCGAUUCGUACAAUGUAAAUGUUUUAAUCGAUUCAAUGAUUAAUUACAGAGAUCGAUUUUUCAACUUGUACAAGGAUUAGAAAUUAGGUUUUUAUCGAUUCAGCGAUUAAUUAGGUUUUUUUUUCAUCGAUUGAAUACAGAGAUCAAUAUAUAUCAGCGAUCGAUUUUUUCAUUGAUUCGAGGUGGAGAACUGAAUUCUGAUUUAGACUGCUAACAUUGUGGUUCAUUCUGAUUUAAGACUGCUAACUUGUGCUUCUGAUCAGGAUUACCAUCAGAUAGUUCAUCAUUCUGCUCUAACUGCGAGGCUGAAAUCAUUUGAAAACCUAACAGAAUAAGAAGGAGAAAAAUGAGGGGCUUCAUGGUGUUUCCGGAUUAAGUGAAUGAGCGCGGAUUUACAAUUUGAAAGAAAUAAUGUCAUCAGGUGAAGGAUUUUUCUUAGCUGUUAUUUGUUGCUGAUUCGUUCUCUCUUUCGCUAUUCGUUGCCAAUCCAUUCUCCCUUUCGCUAUUCGUUGUCGAUUUGUUCUCUGUAUCUUCUUCUAAAGGAUAUUAUUGGAAGGAUACAUAGAGAUUCGGAGAAGCUAUGGAUCAAAAGCUACAAGAUAUGAAGCACGUUCAAUUUUGAAAAUUUUUAGACAAGAAAUUACUCUAUUGAUUCUACUUUAACUUGUAUAUUACAACUAAGGAUACGAAUUAAGUAGACAUUAUAUUGAAAAUAUA